CAUUUGGUAAAGGCGGGGCUGAGAGGACGUUCCAUGGACCCAGUAGACAGGCAGCUUCUGAUUCCAGGAACAACAUGUCUGUUUUUCAGUUUAUCU
This 96-nucleotide microRNA precursor is filed under the name Mus pahari (shrew mouse). RNAcentral describes it as "microRNA 1971 (MGP_PahariEiJ_G0007737.1)". Lineage: Eukaryota; Metazoa; Chordata; Mammalia; Rodentia; Muridae. The record is from RNAcentral.